AUCGAAUUCGAGAAAGUUUUAUGAAUAGCAGGAUGUUUGUGGAGGAGUUAGUAGAGUCCUAUUAUGGCCAGUGUCAUAUGGCGUGAUUUUCUAUCUGGGAAUAUACCGGGUAUCUAGCUGUAGAGAGUUUAGGUUUCUUUUUUAUAUAAUGCCUUAGCUCCCAAAAACAAACUCCUUGCUUUGUAAAAAAAUUCAAAAUAUCUUAAAAUUCUUCAAAAUAUAUUUCUUCCCGCCAAGGACUUUUUUACAUCAGACUUUGAAAAUUCAUAAAAGCUAAUCGAACCGUUCACUUUGUUUCAAAUUUCUACAUAAGCUAGAUGCUAUACUUAACUUUUACCACAAAACAAUUGAACCGUACAUCUAUCACCGAUCGUUCGGCAUCUAAGAAACCCUAGCAGGUGCACAAAACCCUAACUUACAAGCACCCGAAAACUAUUUUCCUUAUAUCUCUUAAACCCAAGCUCCAAAUCACACAAAACUUAUAUAGAAAGCUUUAUAACAAGAUUACACUCAAUCUUGAAAAGUUUGAGCUAAAACCUCAUCAAAUUGUCUAAGAUAUAGCUCAAAUCACAAGCACAAGUAAUUCGGGCUACUUACUACCCUUAGAUAUCAAGCGCUGACUUCAACUGCCAAUAUCUCCUUCAUAAAAGCUUGAAAUUCGAUAAACAGUAUGCACAAACUGUAGCCGAAAAAGUUUUCUCUUCAAAUCCGGUCGCCGAUCCUCGUUUUCUGUCCGUACGCGUGCGGUAUGCUCAAAAGAGUGACAGUACGUUGAAAACUUACACCUUAACUUUGAGCGCGUAUAACUUCUUCAUAUAAACCCCAAAUGACACAAAUUUUGCACCAAAACCAUAUCCAAAAACCUAAACCUUCUGACCCUAUCCUCAAAAACUCGAAU
RNAcentral lists this long non-coding RNA (898 nucleotides) under Physcomitrium patens. RNAcentral's name for it is "long non-coding RNA (PPAT_LNC002948)". Lineage: Eukaryota; Viridiplantae; Streptophyta; Bryopsida; Funariales; Funariaceae. The record is from RNAcentral.